GAUGAACGCUAGCGGGAGGCUUAAUACAUGCAAGUCGAGGGGUAACAUGAGAGCUUGCUCUUGAUGACGACCGGCGCACGGGUGAGUAACGCGUACACAACCUACCUCUAAGUGGGGAAUAGCCUUUGGAAACGAAGAGUAAUACCCCAUAGCAUUAUUUCUUUUUAUGAUGAAAUAAUUAAAGCUCCGGCGCUUAGAGAUGGGUGUGCGUCCCAUUAGCUUGUUGGUAAGGUAACGGCUUACCAAGGCGACGAUGGGUAGGGGGCGUGAGAGCGUGACCCCCCACACGGGUACUGAGACACGGACCCGACUCCUACGGGAGGCAGCAGUAAGGAAUAUUGGACAAUGGGCGAAAGCCUGAUCCAGCCAUCCCGCGUGCAGGAUGACGGCCCUAUGGGUUGUAAACUGCUUUUAGAUAGGAAGAAACCCCCAUUCGUGAGUGGGGCUGACGGUACUAUCAGAAUAAGCACCGGCUAACUCCGUGCCAGCAGCCGCGGUAAU
Molecule: ribosomal RNA, 501 nt
Filed under: uncultured bacterium
Lineage: Bacteria
Description: bacterial SSU rRNA
Rfam family: Bacterial small subunit ribosomal RNA
Source: RNAcentral